ACUAAAGAAACUGGGAUUAGAUACCCCACUAUGUCCGAUCGUAAACUUUUACUUACACACUCUAUCGCCCGGGAACUACGAGCAAAGCUUAAAACCCAAAGGACUUGACGGUACCCCACAUCCCCCUAGAGGAGCCUGUCCUAUAAUCGAUAAUCCACGUUUAACCUCACCAUUUUUAGUUUUUCAGCCUGUAUACCUCCGUCGUCAGCUUACCUCGUGAGCGAACCAUAGUGAGCUUAAUGAUAACCCACCAACACGUCAGGUCAAGGUGCAGCAAAUAAAAUGGAAAGAGAUGGGCUACACUUUCUAAAAUAGAAUACACGAAAGAUUAUUUAUGAAACCUAAUCAGAAGGCGGAUUUAAUAGUAAAAAGAAACCAGAAUGUUCUUUUUAACCCGGCACUGGGGUGUGUACACACCGCCCGUCACCCUCCUCAAAGCUAAAAAACAGUAUCUAACUACUUUAAGCAUUAUAGAAGAGGCAAGUCGUAACAUGGUAAGUAUACCGGAAGGUGUGCUUGGAUCAUGGAAUAUAGCUUAA
Molecule: ribosomal RNA, 539 nt
Filed under: Cycloramphus boraceiensis (Boraceia button frog)
Lineage: Eukaryota; Metazoa; Chordata; Amphibia; Anura; Cycloramphidae
Description: partial 12S ribosomal RNA
Rfam family: Bacterial small subunit ribosomal RNA
Source: RNAcentral